CAACACAAAUGCAAAUGUUUUAUUUGUGGGGAGCCUGGACAUUUUGCCAGAGAUUGUAAAAGAAAAACAGGAAAUAUUGCCAGAGCAACUAUCAUGGACCAAUUAGAUUUACCUUCUGAUUAUGAUAUAUUGUCUAUUGAUUUAAAUGAACCUGAUUCUGAUGCAAUUUGUAGUCUUUCAGAAGGAGAAGUCGGCCCUAUCAAUUAUGCAAAGUAUGCUCUAGAAGAUUUACAAUGGGAAGGAGUUUUCAUGAUGAGAGAUGAAGAAUGUGGAUGGCGAUCCCGUAUCUAUGUGGGCGACUUAAUGAAAAAUUGCCAACAUAAUUGGGAGGAAAAUACCACCGUCUCGGAUUCCAAAUAUCUUUAUUGCACAUUUUGCAAAAUGAUUACAACUGACACUAUGCGAAUUCAUUGUCUGCAUUGUAGAAUGACGGCUUGCCCAUAUUGUGCUAAGUAUUAUUUAGGCAAAACCAUUCCAUAUAAGGAGAUACCAAUAGUACCUCCUUACCAAAAACAAGAAGAGAUUAUACGGGAAUUACUAGACUACACACAGCAUCUGCAAGCAUCUUUUCAUAAACAAAAAGGGAAAUCCAUAAUAAUUGCAGACACAGAUGAUGAUGUAUCUGACUCGGAAUUUAUGCCUUUCAAACAGGGGAAGGAGGAGGAAAAGAAGAAAGAGGUAACCUUUGAAUUCCUAAAGGUUAACCAUAACGGCAAAAAUUCCGGAACAACGCACCAAAGGAGCAGCAGGGUAUGAUCUUUUCCUAGAUCAAAUGAUUGACAUACCUGCAAGAGACAGAAUGCUAGCACAAACAGGAAUAAGUAUGGAAUUUCCAGAAGGAUAUUAUGCAAGAAUAACACCAAGAUCUGGAGCAGCAUUACAUCGGAAGAUGGAUAUCAGAGCAGGAGUAAUUGAUGCUGAUUAUAGAGAAGAAGUUGAAAUAUUAACAUCCACACCAAGAGAUACUGGAUCUUUUGGCUCCACUAACGAAGCGGCAUUCUCGGCACCAACAAAAUCCUUGCUUAACAGAUUAUAUAAUAUGGAAAUUAUUUUUCAUAUUCCGGGAAUUCAAGAUACAAAGGUACAAGCCAUCCUGGAUACUGGUGCUACAAAAUGUUGUAUUUGUCAAGAUGCCCUUCCAAAGGAGGCCUUUGAAGAAAUAAAUUAUAAAGUGGUUUUCUCGGGGAUAAAUUCACAGCAGGAAACAAAGAAAGAGGUUAAAGAUGAACAGUAGCAGGUGGGCUACAAAUUGAGGGGACAGAAAUAACAUUUUACAGGAGUAUCACAACCAUCAAUACUACCCCGGAAGGCACAUGCUAUACCAGAACUAGAAAUGGAGGAAGAAGAAUUUAUAACACUGAAUGAAGAAUUGAAUUCAAAGGUAUGUUUUGGAUAUAAUACCAAUUUCCAGUUACAAUUUGCACCUAUCAUGCAAAGAUUAAAGGAUUGGUGAAAAUCCUAUUUUACAUUGGGCAAAGAAUAAAGUUAUUUGCACCCUGGAUAUAAUUAAUCCUGAUUUAACCAUUCAGGAUAAACCAUUGAAACAUAUUACUCCUGCCAUGGAAGCUAGUUUUAAAUCACAUAUUGAGACUUUAUUGUCACUAAAGGUCAUUAGACCAAGUACUAGCAGGCAUAGAACCAUGACCUUCAUUGUGCAAUCAGGGACAACAAUUGAUCCGGCAACAGACAAAGAAAAGAAAGGGAAAGAGAGGUUAGUAUUCAAUUACAAAACGUUGAAUGAUAAUACCUACAAAGAUCAAUAUUCAUUACUAGGUAUUAACCUCAUAUUGAAGAAAAUUGGAAACAACAGGAUAUUCUCUAAAUUUGAUUUAAAGUCAGGUUUCCAUCAAGUAAUGAUGAAUCCGGAUUUAGUCCCCUGGAUAGCCUUCUUAGUUCCACAAGGUCUUUAUGAAUGGCUAGUCAUGCCAUUCGGUUUUAAAAAUGCUCCAGCAAUUUUCCAGCGAAAAAUGGAUAACUGUUUCAAAGAUUGUGAAGAAUUUCUAAUAGUAUAUAUUGAUGAUAUACUGGUUUUAUCACCCUUAGAAGAAACUCAUGUACAAUACUUAUCAAAAGUGCUAGAUAUAUGUGCAAAGGAGGGAUUGGUGUUACACCCUCAAAGAUAAAAAUGGCACAAACUGAAAUUGAGUUUCUGGGAGCUACUGUGAGAAAUCGAAGGAUCAAGCUACAACAACAUAUUAUUAAAAAGAUCAUCGACUUUGAUGAGCAGAAACUACAGACACUAAAAGGGCUUAGAUCCUGGCUAGGGAUUCUCAAUUAUGCCAGGCCAUAUAUAAAGAAACUAAGUACUCUCUUAGGUCCUUUGUAUUCCAAGACUUCCCCUAAUGGUGAUCGACGAUUUAAAACUUCUGAUUGGGAAAUAAUCAGAAAAAUAGUUCAAGAACUUCUAGACUUAGAACUUCCCGAGACUCAUAUAUUAUUAUUGAAACAGAUGGUUCAAUGGAAGGAUGGGGCGGAAUUUGCAGGUGGAAAAAGUCAAAAUUUGACUCAAGAAGCACAGAACGAGUUUGUGCAUACGCAAGCGGAAAAUUUCCCUCAGUAAAAGCAACAAUAGAUGCAGAAAUAUAUGCGUGCAUGGAAGCAUUAUCUGCUAUGAAGAUUCAUUACUUGGACAAAAAAGAAGUUACUCUCAGAACAGAUUGCCAUGCAAUUAUAAAGUUCUUCACCAAAAUCGCACAAAAUAAACCUUCUCGGGUUAGAUGGAUAUCUUUUGUGGAUUAUAUCACAGGAACAGGAGUGGAUAUGCACUUUGAGCACAUAGAAGGAACCAAUAAUGAAUUAGCUGAUGCUUUGUCCCGAUUAAUUCAUUAUGUGACCACAGUAUCAUAUAUUCAUGACGAUCAAGAGGAUUUGUUCAGGACAACUGACGCGACAAUUAAUGAGACCAAAGAUGCUCCUCUCUUUAUUAAAGACCAACUGGCUGAAACGAUAAGCUCUAUUAUUGCAUCACUCAUUAAAGGUGAAGACAACUAUGCUUGUUCGACACUCAGAGAGGACACUUGUAUAUAUUCUAAGGAACUGAGCCCCUGGGAGCCGUUCCUUUAUAAAGUGUAAUCAAUAAUUGAGUGUAAGUGGGAUAAGGCAGCUGUAAAGGAAAAGAUACGAUAAGAUGCGAUGGGGCCCAUAAAUGUGUACUCGGUCUAUCUUAUCUUCUCCUAAGAACGCCUAUAUAAUCCUAGUGUGUGAAACUUAGCAAGGCAGGCGAGAAAUACUCGAAGUCUUACUCAGUUCUAAGUUAGCCUUUCUUGAGUUCCUGAGCUAAAACAGCCAAUACUCAAGACAAUCCUUGUAAUCCAUUGUAAAAAUUUCCACUGGUAUUGUAUAACAAGUACUGUUGUGCUUGUUUAUUUUCCACUUCCCACUUCUCCACCACGUUUUUAUCUAUCUUCCGAUGUAAUGCUGCUCCAGAUCUUGGUGCUAUUCUUGCAUAAUAUCCUUCUGGAAAUUCCAUAGUUAUUCCUGUCUUUGCUAGCAUUCUGUCUCUUGCAGGUAUGUCAAUCAUUUGAUCUAGGAAAAGAUCAUACCCUGCUGCUCCUUUGGUGCGUUGUUCAGGAAUUUUUGCCGUUGUGGUUAACCUUUUAACCUUUAGGAAUUCAAAGGUUAAAAUGUGAUAACCCUCACCUUGGGGCCCCUCCAGGAUGUUCAAUGCGAUUUGGAAGGGAAGUAAAUCACGUGGGCUUUACCCAACACAGUGGCCUUUUGCAUGGGGUUAGGUGACCCGCAAUGUAUUUCGUACAUGACCUAUUGCAGCGACAUCACAUGCAAGUACCAACUGUGCUUGCCCGUGGGGGCAGUUGCAUGUGUUCCUAAAAUAUAUCACGGAAUGACCCUCCAUAUAUAAAUUAAUUAAAUAUUAAUAUUAGUCUAUUUGUUAAUCAUUAAAUUGAACAGCUAAUUAAUAAGUACAUAUAAUUGUUUAUAAAUUUAAUUAUAUUAAUACUUCAAAAAUUAAUUUAAUAUUAUUUCGUCAAUUAUUAACAAUUUAUUGUUAAUUAAUUAUUUUUAUUAGUUUAAUUAGUAAUUUAUAUUUUUUGACUUAUUGGAAACAGAAACUAUUUGAGAUUAUAAAGGAAAACUUCUGCAAUGUGUAAUAUUCAUGUUUGAUUAUCUAUAAUUCACAUUUUUUUUUUAUUUUGAAAUAUCUUUUAUUUUCUUUUUUUAUUUUAUUUUAUUUUUUUAAUUUUGAUUCUGAUCCCACAACCCAAUAUGGUCUAUACAUAGUUCUUUAUAUAAUUUCUGAUAUCCAUACUAUCACUCAUGGUUUUACUGCUUGAUGUAUAGCUUACAAUUUCUUAUGGUUCUUUUUCCCC
Zingiber officinale is the source of this 4328-nucleotide long non-coding RNA. RefSeq lists it as uncharacterized. NCBI's taxonomy places the organism in Eukaryota, Viridiplantae, Streptophyta, Magnoliopsida, Zingiberales, Zingiberaceae. The transcript is spliced from 3 exons. The record is from RefSeq and is a predicted model, not a curated record.